This is a long non-coding RNA of Myotis brandtii (Brandt's bat), 425 nucleotides long. RefSeq lists it as uncharacterized. The record is from RefSeq and is a predicted model, not a curated record. The transcript has 2 exons. Lineage: Eukaryota; Metazoa; Chordata; Mammalia; Chiroptera; Vespertilionidae.
CCACCCCCUGUCGUUCUCCCAUGGUCGCGAAGCCUUCUGGGAGUUGUAGUACGGUACCCGGCCACUGCACCGGGAACACUGGGGACGGGCGCAGGGGCGGGGCUGCGGGGACAGCGGGUCCCUCUCGGAGGGCUUGCUUUCAGCGCCUGGCAGUCCCGAGCGCAGACCGUAGCCUUCCGACUCCCGGAGCCAGUGUGAGAGGCCCGGACGCUUACGUUCCCGGGAGUUCCGAAAGACUAAUUCCCCAGCCGCCGCGCGUUGCGGGCGCCAAAAGCAGAAGGUUGCAGCCGAUGCCUGCGAUAAAACCGCGUCUGAUUGUCUGCCCGCCCACCCCGGCCCAGGCCGGCUCAAAUGUCGUCUCCGCUAAGCCCUCUCCCGUUUUCCGUUGCUUCCUUGGAGCUCUCAUAAUACAUGCAAACCUCCCA